This 550-nucleotide ribosomal RNA is filed under the name uncultured bacterium. Its description in RNAcentral is "bacterial SSU rRNA". It matches the Rfam family "Bacterial small subunit ribosomal RNA", at positions 355 to 896 of the family's 1533-position model. The record is from RNAcentral.
UAGGGAAUCUUCCGCAAUGGACGCAAGUCUGACGGAGCAACGCCGCGUGAGUGAAGAAGGUUUUCGGAUCGUAAAACUCUGUUGUUAGAGAAGAACAAGUGCUAGAGUAACUGUUAGCGCCUUGACGGUAUCUAACCAGAAAGCCACGGCUAACUACGUGCCAGCAGCCGCGGUAAUACGUAGGUGGCAAGCGUUGUCCGGAUUUAUUGGGCGUAAAGCGAGCGCAGGCGGUUCCUUAAGUCUGAUGUGAAAGCCCCCGGCUCAACCGGGGAGGGUCAUUGGAAACUGGGGAACUUGAGUGCAGAAGAGGAGAGUGGAAUUCCAUGUGUAGCGGUGAAAUGCGUAGAUAUAUGGAGGAACACCAGUGGCGAAGGCGACUCUCUGGUCUGUAACUGACGCUGAGGCUCGAAAGCGUGGGUAGCAAACAGGAUUAGGUACCCUGGUAGUCCACGCCGUAAACGAUGAGUGCUAAGUGUUGGAGGGUUUCCGCCCUUCAGUGCUGCAGUUAACGCAUUAAGCACUCCGCCUGGGGAGUACGACCGCAAGGUUG